UACGAAGGGGGCUAGCGUUGCUCGGAAUCACUGGGCGUAAAGCGCACGUAGGCGGCUUUCUAAGUCAGGGGUGAAAUCCUGGAGCUCAACUCCAGAACUGCCUUUGAUACUGGGAAGCUCGAGUCCGGAAGAGGUGAGUGGAACUGCGAGUGUAGAGGUGAAAUUCGUAGAUAUUCGCAAGAACACCAGUGGCGAAGGCGGCUCACUGGUCCGGUACUGACACUGAGGUGCGAAAGCGUGGGGAGCAAACAGG
RNAcentral lists this ribosomal RNA (253 nucleotides) under uncultured bacterium. Its description in RNAcentral is "partial 16S ribosomal RNA". It matches the Rfam family "Bacterial small subunit ribosomal RNA", at positions 524 to 776 of the family's 1533-position model. The record is from RNAcentral.